Molecule: ribosomal RNA, 429 nt
Filed under: bacterium
Lineage: Bacteria
Description: partial 16S ribosomal RNA
Rfam family: Bacterial small subunit ribosomal RNA
Source: RNAcentral
UGGGGAAUCUUGCGCAAUGCGCGAAAGCGUGACGCAGCAACGCCGCGUGGGGGAAGAAGGCCUUCGGGUUGUAAACCCCUUUCAGGAGGGACGAAGCCUCGGCCGUUAAUAGCGGAUCGGGGUGACGGUACCUCCAGAAGAAGCCCCGGCUAACUACGUGCCAGCAUCCGCGGUAAUACGUAGGGGGCAAUCGUUGUCCGGAAUCAUUGGGCGUAAAGCGCGUGUAGGCGGUCCGGUAAGUCGGCUGUGAAAGUCCAGGGCUCAACCCUGGGAUGCCGGUAGAUAAUGCCGGACUAGAGUUCGGAAGAGGCGAGUGGAAUUCCCGGUGUAGCGGUGAAAUGCGCAGAUAUCGGGAGGAACACCAAUGGCGAAGGCAGGUCGCUGGGACGUUACUGACGCUGAGACGCGAAAGCGUGGGGAGCAAACAGG